RNAcentral lists this ribosomal RNA (370 nucleotides) under uncultured bacterium. RNAcentral's name for it is "bacterial SSU rRNA". It matches the Rfam family "Bacterial small subunit ribosomal RNA", at positions 29 to 423 of the family's 1533-position model. The record is from RNAcentral.
AACGAACGCUGGCGGCAGGCCUAAUACAUGCAAGUCGAACGGGCGUAGCAAUACGUCAGUGGCGGACGGGUGAGUAACACGUGGGAACAUGCCUUUCGGUUCGGAAUAACGCAGGGAAACUUGCGCUAAUACCGGAUGACCCGGCGACGGAAAAGAUUUAUCGCCGAAAGAUUGGCCCGCGUAGGAUUAGCUAGUUGGUGAGGUAACGGCCCACCAAGGCGACGAUCCUUAGCUGGUUUGAGAGAACGAUCAGCCACACUGGGACUGAGACACGGCCCAGACUCCUACGGGAGGCAGCAGUAGGGAAUCUUGGACAAUGGGGAAACCCGUACAUCCAGCCAUGCCGCGUGAGUGAUGAAGGCCUUCGGUU